RNAcentral lists this ribosomal RNA (253 nucleotides) under uncultured bacterium. RNAcentral describes it as "partial 16S ribosomal RNA". It matches the Rfam family "Bacterial small subunit ribosomal RNA", at positions 524 to 776 of the family's 1533-position model. The record is from RNAcentral.
UACGUAGGGGGCAAGCGUUGUCCGGAAUCAUUGGGCGUAAAGCGCGCGUAGGCGGCCCGAUCAGUCCGCUGUAAAAGUCCAGGGCUCAACCCUGGAAAGCCGGUGGAUACUGUCGGGCUAGAGUCCGGGAGAGGCGAGUGGAAUUCCUGGUGUAGCGGUGGAAUGCGCAGAUAUCAGGAGGAACACCAAUAGCGAAGGCAGCUCGCUGGGACGGUAUUGACGCUAAGGCGCGAAAGCGUGGGGAGCGAACAGG